Molecule: ribosomal RNA, 452 nt
Filed under: Streptomyces subrutilus
Lineage: Bacteria; Bacillati; Actinomycetota; Actinomycetes; Kitasatosporales; Streptomycetaceae
Description: bacterial SSU rRNA
Rfam family: Bacterial small subunit ribosomal RNA
Source: RNAcentral
UUUUGAGAUUUGAUCCUGGCUCAGGACGAACGCUGGCGGCGUGCUUAACACAUGCAAGUCGAACGAUGAAGCCCUUCGGGGUGGAUUAGUGGCGAACGGGUGAGUAACACGUGGGCAAUCUGCCCUUCACUCUGGGACAAGCCCUGGAAACGGGGUCUAAUACCGGAUACCACUCCUGCCUGCAUGGGCGGGGGUUGAAAGCUCCGGCGGUGAAGGAUGAGCCCGCGGCCUAUCAGCUUGUUGGUGGGGUAAUGGCCCACCAAGGCGACGACGGGUAGCCGGCCUGAGAGGGCGACCGGCCACACUGGGACUGAGACACGGCCCAGACUCCUACGGGAGGCAGCAGUGGGGAAUAUUGCACAAUGGGCGAAAGCCUGAUGCAGCGACGCCGCGUGAGGGAUGACGGCCUUCGGGUUGUAAACCUCUUUCAGCAGGGAAGAAGCGAGAGUGAC